GAACGCUCGGCGGCGUGCUUAACACAUGCAAGUCGAACGAAGCACUUGAUUUCAAUUCCUUCGGAAUUGAUUAUCUUGCGACUGAGUGGCGGACGGGUGAGUAACGCGUGGGCAACCUGCCUUGCACUGGGGGAUAACAGUCUGAAAUCGGCUUGCUAUUACCGCUUAAACGCAAGCGUCGCAUUGGAUGCGGUGUGCAAAACUCCGGUGGUGUAAGAUGGACCCGCGCUGAAUUAGCUAUUGGGUGAGGAACCGGCCCCCCAACGCAACAAUCCAUACCCAACCUGAAAGGGGGACCGGCCACUUUGGAACUGAAACCCGGCCCAAACUCCUACGGAAGGAACCAUGGGGAAAUAUUGCCCAUGGGGCAAAACCCGGAGGCACCAACCCCCCGGGAGCAAAAAAUUAUUCCGGAAUGUAAAGUUCUAUCACCAGGAAAAAUAAGGACGGACCCUGACUAAAAACCACCGGUUACUUACUUGCCACCACCCGCGGAAAUACUUAUGGUGCAGGCGUUAUCCGAAUUUACUUGGUGGUAAAGGAAGCUCAAACCGGUGCGCCAAGCCUAAUGUGAAACCCCGGGGCUCACCCUCGGAACUGCAUUGAAAACUGUCUGACUAAAGGGCCGAAAGGGUAAUCGAAUUUCCUAUGGUAGCGUGGAAUGGCGUAGAUUUAAGGAGAAACACCAGUGGCGAAAGGCGGCUUACUGGACGAUAACUGACGCUGAGGCUCGAAGGCGGGGGGAGCAAACAGGAUUAGAUACCUGGAUUGUCCACGCGGUAAAGGAGGAAUAUUGGUGUGUUGGGAAGCAUUGCUUUUGGGUGCCGUGGCAAAGCCAGUAACUAUUCCACUUGGGGAGUAGGUUGGCAGGAAUGAAAUUCAAAGGAAUGGAGGGGGACCGCCCCAAGCGGUGGAGCAUGUGGUUUAAUUGGAAGCAACGGGAGGACCUUUACCAAUUCUGGCCUUCCUUUUGAGGGGUGGUUACCCGUCCUUUCUUUUGGGACCAGGAGUGCCAGGUGGUCCAUGGUGUUGUUCAGUUGGGUUGGUGGGAUGUGGGGUUAAUUCCCGCACGGAGCGCAACCUUUUUCUUUAGUAGCCAGCGGUGAGGCCGGGCACUCUAGAGAGACUGCCAGGGAUAACCUGGAGGAAGGCGGGGAUGACGUCAAAUCAUCAUGCCCCUUAUGAUUUGGGCUACACACGUGCUACAAUGGCGUAAACAAAGGGAAGCGAAGCAGUGAAGCGGAGCAAAUCUCAAAAAUAACGUCUCAGUUCGGACUGUAGUCUGCAACCCGACUACACGAAGCUGGAAUCGCUAGUAAUCGCGGAUCAGAAUGUUGCGGUGAAUACGUUCCCGGGUCUUGUACACACCGCCCGUCACACCAUGGGAGUCGGGAAUGCCCGAAGUCAGUGACCCAACCGAAAGGAAGGAGCUGUCGAAGGCAGGCCAGAUAACUGGGG
Molecule: ribosomal RNA, 1458 nt
Filed under: uncultured organism
Description: partial small subunit ribosomal RNA
Rfam family: Bacterial small subunit ribosomal RNA
Source: RNAcentral